AACGGCCGUACCAUGCUGAAUAUACCGGUUCUCGUUAGAUCACCGAAGUCAAGCAUCAUUGGGCGCGGUCAGUACUUGGGUGGGUGACCACCUGGGAACACCGCGUGCCGUCG
This is a non-coding RNA of Caerostris darwini, 113 nucleotides long. NCBI's taxonomy places the organism in Eukaryota, Metazoa, Arthropoda, Arachnida, Araneae, Araneidae. The record is from the annotation of a GenBank genome assembly.